CAGACAGCAACUUUUAUUUUCCCCAGCCACCAUAGCCCCACUCAAUAUGACAUUUAGACAGAUGAGCCAGCAAUACAGUAGUUACAUGUGUCUGGGAUUUGUUUUUUAAAUUAUAUGUACCGCUUUUAAUAGCCUGAUUACAGCUGUUCAGUAAGUGAUGCCUCUAGACUGAAGAGGACCGAAAUGAGAAGCAGGCCAGCUAAGAGGGCUGGGAGCAGCACGUUCCCCUUGUUAUUGCCAGCUAGUGGGGAGAGAACAUAUGGCCACUUUACAAAGUUAAGAAUCACAAACAGCAGACAAGAAUGAAUGAUUAAUGCUGGAGUUCCUGGAGUAUGGGCCAAAGAAGUUCCCCCAAACCUUACAAACAGAAACACAUGCCUCUGCCAGUCCCCACAUGGGAUCCCAGAUGAGAAACCUCUCAAGGAGAAUAACAAAAUGCAGUUGGAAUCAAAGUGUAUGAAGCCUCCCAGACACACCCAGCAGGAGUCACCAGGAAGCAGCUGGGAAGAGGCUGACAGCCCACCAGCAAUGAGACCACAGGAGCUGCUGCUCCCGGGAGGGAGUCUGCUGUCAUCCUCCACUUGCUAGAGUUCUCCCUCCUCUCUGCUUGUUACACACUGCUUCCCUGCUCUAGAGCUUGCUCCAGAGAUGACUUCAACAGAACAGAGUGGCUCUUCCUUACUUGAAACACAGAUCCAUUGUACCUGUGGCUUUGGCUCUGGAUUGUCUUUCUACUUAGAGGAGAACAAGGGUGUGACUGAGCCACAUGAUGGAAAGUAAAGACUAUUGUGACCAUGAAAUUUGGAAGCCAAGCAUAGGAUACCAGGAGAGGUUGGAUAGAAGCAAGAUUUAUCAGAAUUAGCCUUGGAAUCUCUGACUCAAGUAUGGACUAUCAUCAGCCAUUAGCACCAGACAAAAUGCAGCCACUGACAAUCUUCUGGGAUGCCGCUAAGUAUACUUGACCUAACAACUACCAGUAAAACUUUCUGACAUGUGCUUUGAUUCUAGAUUAUCAACUAAGAAUUCAGGGAAACAUUCUACUAAAUAACAUGUCCUAUGUAAGUGAGAUAAUUAUAACAGCCUCCUCACUAGGUUAUGGGCCCCCAAAUUUGUACUUUUCAGAUCUUUCUUCUACGUUGCAGUCAGACACAGAUUUGAUCACGCCACACCAUUGCUCAGAAUUCUUUGGAUGCAACUUACUGCCUAUAGGAUGAAGACCACACUCAGGCAUUUCCUUGAAUGCUGACACAAUCCUACCCCAACCUACCUCACGAUCUUCCUACUGCAUGCAUGCUCCCUUCAGAUCUAAUUGGCUUUUUUUCACUAAUGCCUGCACUUGACCUAAGUGAAGAUUCUGAAGCAGGAGAGAAACUGGUUUUCUAGGCCUAUCUUGAGUCUCUUUUAUCAUUGACCAUCUUUCGCUACCACAAAAGAAUCAUAUUCUAUUGCACAAGACCUAGUGGGCCUCAUUUAAGAUUUUGAACAUUAUUCCAACAAAAUUCCUAAAAUUUUAAGUUUGUACUUAUAUCAUAAAGCUAGACCUUGCAUUUAAAACUCACCUUUAGAAAACUUGCUUUAAAAAAACAAAAACAAGUAAUUUUGAUGAAUUUGGAAAUUCUGUGACUUAAUCUUAUCUGUUAUCUGAGUAAGAGUUUAAGCAACAGUGACACUGGAAAAUAAAAUGAUAUUUAUGUAUAAAACAAUGAUAAUACUAUAGAAUGUCAUCUUUCAGGGUAACAUUUGUUGAGUUACAGAACUGAUUCAUUGAUUGCACUAAAGUUAUACCAUUGAAUAACUUGCAUGGAGGGAAACCAGAAUUAUAACCACGGGUAAAAAUUGAUAUAUUAGAGGUGAAUUUUGGAAGAAAUAAAAAUGUAGAAGGCAAUUAUAAGGGGAGCACUUAAAUUAGGUAUGAAUGGUUUAUGCUAUUGAUUAAAGCAUUUUAAAAAUCAAUAAAAGAACACUUUGUACCAAGUAGCUUUCAGGAACUUUCAGGGAAGACCAUUUGAUUCAGUUCAAAAGUCAGAAGCCUCUGCCCUAACAGGUAAAAAGCG
Molecule: long non-coding RNA, 2054 nt
Filed under: Homo sapiens (human)
Lineage: Eukaryota; Metazoa; Chordata; Mammalia; Primates; Hominidae
Description: HSALNT0218523
Source: RNAcentral